This 253-nucleotide ribosomal RNA is filed under the name uncultured bacterium. RNAcentral's name for it is "partial 16S ribosomal RNA". It matches the Rfam family "Bacterial small subunit ribosomal RNA", at positions 524 to 776 of the family's 1533-position model. The record is from RNAcentral.
UACGGGGGGGGCAAGCGUUGUUCGGAAUUAUUGGGCGUAAAGCGCACGUAGGCGGCCGAAUAAGUCGGGUGUGAAAGCCCUGGGCUCAACCCAGGAAGUGCACUCGAUACUGCUCGGCUUGAGUAUGGAAGAGGGUUGCGGAAUUCCCGGUGUAGAGGUGAAAUUCGUAGAUAUCGAGAGGAACACCGGUGGCGAAGGCGGCUUCCUGGACCGACACUGACGCUGAGGCGCGAAAGCUAGGGGAGCAAACAGG